Molecule: ribosomal RNA, 475 nt
Filed under: uncultured bacterium
Lineage: Bacteria
Description: SSU rRNA
Rfam family: Bacterial small subunit ribosomal RNA
Source: RNAcentral
AGGAUAAACGCUGGCGGCGUGCACGAGACAUGCAAGUCGAACGGACGAUCGAGGCUUGCUUCGAUCGUUAGUGGCGGACGGCUGAGUAACGCGUAGGUGACCUGCCCCGAAGUGGGGAAUAACUGCCCGAAAGGGUGGCUAAUACCGCAUGUGGUGGUGUGUUCAAUCACACCAGUAAAGCCGCAAGGCGCUUCGGGAGGGGCCUGCGUCCGAUUAGCUCGUUGGUGGGGUAACGGCUCACCAAGGCGACGAUCGGUAGGUGGUCUGAGAGGACGAUCACCCAGACUGGGACUGAGACACGGCCCAGACUCCUACGGGAGGCAGCAGUCGGGAAUUUUUGCGCAAUGGACGAAAGUCUGACGCAGCAACGCCGCGUGAGGGAUGACGGCCUUCGGGUUGUAAACCUCUUUUGUCUAGGGAAGAUGAUGACGGUACCUGACGAAUAAGUCACGGCUAACUACGUGCCAGCAGCCGC